UAAAAAUGUCAGAUUUUUCUCACCCAAAUAUAUUUUACGUAUAAUCAAUGGCAUUGGCAAUCUAAAUAAGACGUUCUGUAAAAGCGCUUUCAAGAUUGGGCUUUUCUUUCGUUUCUUACAAACUCGACUGAACAACAUUUAAAGUUUAUGUGCAUAGAGAACUGCUCACAUUUCUGGUUUGUACAUUUGUAUACAAUGAAUAUAUAAAUAUAAAUUUUGACAAUAUUAUGUUUUCAAAUUAAUAAUUUUGAAAAAAUUGUUAAAAUAAUUGUUGUAAAAAACCAGUUAAAAAGUAUCUGUCGGAUUUGCCGACAGAUGUAUACCCUCAGCCAAUGUACGAUUAUUGAAAUAUAUUUUGGCUUCUGUUAUGGUUAUUCAAAUUAAUGAAUUAAAGUAUUGAAAAUUGUGACCCUUUGUGGGAGAGGUACGAAAAGCGGUGCGCAGGUAUAUAUCAUCUUCACAACAAAUUUGGUGUUGGACAAAAUGUUUUUUAGGAGUUUUUCAAAACUUGAACCCUACGUGGGGGAGGUACCAGAAGAAAUGGUCCGAUCCCUACCAUCUUUAUAUCAGAUCUUGUGUUGAUGGAACUUUGGAGAUGUGCCAAGAAUGGAAUUGGAUGUUAAUUUCGCAUUUUCUGAGCUUCAUGGAUAUUCAAAAUUUUGUUCUUUGUGGAGAAGGAGUGGACCGAUAUAUCCCAUCUUCACAGCACAUCUUGUGUCAGUAGAAAUAAUGAGAUGUGUGAAAUAUAAAGAGAAUCGGAUGCCUAUUUCGGAUUAUAUAAUUGUCUUGGUAAUUCAAAACUUUGACCCUUUGUGGGGGAGGUACCAAAAGGAAUGGUCCGAUCUCUACCAUAUUUAUAACAGAUUUUGUGUUGAUAGAAAUAUUGAAAUGUACCAAGUAUUCAGGUUGUUGACCUUUGUGGUUGCGGUACCAGAAGGAGUGGACCGAUGUAUUCAAUCUUCACACCAGACCUUGGGUUAAUAAAAAUAUUGUAAUAUGAGUAAUUCAAGACAAUUGGAUUCUUACAUCACUGUUUAUAACAGUUAUAUAGGGGGAGGUACUUGAUGGAGUGGACCUAUUUUGUCCAUUUUUGCACCUGACCUAGCACUGAUUCAAAUAUUAGGAGUUGCACAUUUGGAGCAAAAUCGGUUUAUCAUUUCUCUUUUUGUACAGUAAAUUAUUUUGUUUAACCAUUUCGACAUUUUGUGGGGGAGGUACCAAAAGGAGUGGGCCGAUAUUGCCCAUCUCCGAACACAAUCUAAAUUUUAUAAUAAUAUUACGAUGUACCAAGUUUGGACCAAAUCGGAUCGCACCAGCCAGACAUCACUCCAAAUGUUCUGAAUCGGAUUUGGUCCAAAUAGACCUAGGGUCUUAAACCGUUAUAUCGAUAAGGCACGUUUUGGCCGUAUCAAAUGAUGGCUGAUAUGGCUGAAGGUAUAAAAUGUGAUUUCACUUAUUGGCGCCCAACAUGUAAUUUUGUUUUUAUGUUUGAUGUUUGUUAACUUUUGCAGUUGAUACUCUUGAGAGAGCAAAAUUCGUAUUUACUCUUAGUAAUUUCUUAUUGAGCAAAUGUAGCUGGAAAUGUUAACGAUCAAAACUAAUAACGAUCCUGGCGUGGGGUAUGACCCGCCCAAGACAAAUAAUUUAAGCUGACGUAUUUUGCAUUCCGCGAAAAUUAUUGGACAGUUUAAAAAUAUUUAGUACCUACAUUAUAUAACAAAGUUCAUGAAUUAUAUUUCAAUUUUCUUGUUUUAACCAGACAAGAUAUCCAAAAUAUUUACAUUCGCAGGUUUAACGUUUUGUUUUAACGAUUUUUGGCGAAUAACAUUAUUUAUACGGUUUCAGUUUUGACUAAGUAUAUGUUGCCGAAAACUAUGUAGGCGGCGCACCCCAAUAUACAGGCACUUAAAUCACAUACAUACACAUAAGUUUGAUCUCGCCGAAAACAAACGUUUCGGCUACCACCAUUCAGAUCACAUGAUAAGAAGCAAAAAACUUUAGUCUAUUUAAUUACACAUAACGGUUUGUGCGCAAAAUACAAACGAAUUUGAUGCGUUUAAGCUGCAGUGUUUGCUAU
This is a long non-coding RNA of Musca domestica (house fly), 2077 nucleotides long. RefSeq lists it as uncharacterized. The record is from RefSeq and is a predicted model, not a curated record. The transcript is spliced from 3 exons. NCBI's taxonomy places the organism in Eukaryota, Metazoa, Arthropoda, Insecta, Diptera, Muscidae.